RNAcentral lists this unclassified non-coding RNA (329 nucleotides) under soil metagenome. RNAcentral's name for it is "partial contains 5.8S ribosomal RNA, internal transcribed spacer 2, and large subunit ribosomal RNA". The stretch from base 1 to 120 matches the Rfam family "5.8S ribosomal RNA", at positions 35 to 154 of the family's 154-position model. The record is from RNAcentral.
GAUGAAGAACGUAGCGAAAUGCGAUAAGUAGUGUGAAUUGCAGAAUUCAGUGAAUCAUCGAAUCUUUGAACGCACAUUGCGCCCCUUGGUAUCCCGAGGGGCAUGCCUGUUCGAGCGUCAUUUCACCACUCAAGCCUGGCUUGGUGUUGGGCGACGUCCCCUUUGGGGACGCGCCUCGAAACGCUCGGCGGCGUGGCACCGGCUUUAAGCGUAGCAGAAUCUUUCGCUUUGGAAGUCGGGGCCCCGUCUGCCGGAAGACCUACUCGCAAGGUUGACCUCGGAUCAGGCAGGGAUACCCGCUGAACUUAAACAUAUCAAUAAGCGGAGGA